GCAUUUUAGCCUCGUUAAGUACCUGAAUCUUUGACUUAAUGAGAACCACAGAAAGUUAGAGCUGGAAGGAAUUGGAGAAAUGAUCUUGUUCAGCCCAAUUUUACUAACAAGAAAAUUGACAAGGUAAGCGUUUUGCCCAACGUUUCACAGCAAGCUAUUAUUAGAUCCUAUUCUAGAAGCUGGACCUCCUAAUUCUUAUUCCAGUCUUAUUUUUCUCACUCUUCACUGCAUCUAACUGAAAACAUGGAAAAAUCUAGAAUUCAAUCUUGCUUAUUUUAAUUUUUUAAGACAGGUGUUGUAGUCUGAAUUUUUCAUUAGAAUAGGCGUUCUUAUUCUUAGGUGCCAUGGAAUGUCAAUUAUUAUUAGAAAAACCUGAAAUUAGUGAGGAACAGUAAAAAUUUCAGCAAUACCCAAAUAUCUUGGCCAGCGUAUUCUCAAUUUUCUUGAAAUCUGGUCUCUUUUCUGGAUCUUCCUCCCAGCAGUUCUUUACAAGUAGAUAGACCUGGAAGAAGGAAGGGGUGGGUUAGUUCAGGGGGCCUAUUUUAUCCUCUCUUCUAUGAUGGAAGUACUUGAGGCAGGGACUAUUUUAAAACAUUGCAACUCUGACGAUGAAGACGAGCUCGCCCAGUGGUCUGCAGUGUGUCCUGGGCAUCGCCACCUGUGCAUCCUUGCCUUGCCCUUCCCUUGGGUCCUGAAUUAAUGAAAAGGUGAUACCAAUUUGGAUGCGGCUGGGUUGAUGGGAGAGACAGCAUUCUUUACAGACGUUUGCAGGAUGUACGUUGAGGAGGGCAUAGGAGGGCUCGGUGAGUAUGAGGGAAGUGACUCUAAAUGAGAGUGAGGCUCUUUGGCAGCAGUUUUCAACCAAUGCCAACAGCAGAAUCACCUGGGGAGCAUUUAUAAAAUUUCUUAUGCCCGGGCCCCACCCCAGGAGACUCUGAUUUAAUUGGUUUGUGAAGGAGCCUUAGUAGGGUUCUCAGAUUUAGCAAAUAAAAAUACAAGACACACAAUUAAACUUGAAUUUCAGAUAAACAAUAAUUGCUUUAGCAUUAGUAGUUCCCAAAUAUUGCAGGGCAAAGGACAAUAUGUACGAAGGGGCAUUAGCCACCGUGCCCCUUUAAGACCAUGUGUCCUGGAGGCUCCUUGUCUGGGCUAUGCACCAGCACUCAUGAUGAUAACAGUCCUGGGAUUGGUCCACCCAGUUGUUUUCUCGUGGGAUAGUUGGCACAAAGACCCUCAAGGUUUGAAGGAAAACAGACGCCCCUGGCAGGGGGAGCGGGUGGUCUCUGGUCCUUGGAAUGCAGGUCAUACAGGGACGACCCCCUUGGCAAGCAUGCAGCCUUUCUUCCUCUGCCUACUUAAACAAACUUCUUUGGGGGGUAGUGGUGUGCAGAUCUAUGUACAGCCAGCUGCUCCUGGACUCUCCCUGUACGUAAGUCCCAGUAAAUCUAUGUCUCACCCAUCAUCUCUGGGUUGUUUCUUUGGUCUCUCAGCACAAUACCCUGCUGCCCUAGCCCAGCCAUCCGUGUGGCCUUACAAUAUAAUAUAUCUACUUUUAAGUUCCUCAGGUGAUUAUAAUGCCCAACUGCAGUGGAGAUGAGAAGUGAGGAAAGGGGAUACAGAGGAAGGGGGAGACACGAGGAAGCCCAUGGACCCAUCAUCUCAUUUGCUACCACUUGUUUGCAGCUUUUGUUGGAUCAAAAAGCUUGGUGAAAACUAUUUGCUUUAAAUAAAGUUUGUUCUUCACUCUGGCCAGAAACAGGAUCACAAAUGGUAUAGAUGCAGUCCCUAUCUGCGUUCUUUGCCUUAAUGAGUCUCUGGAGAGAGGGACCAGACCACAGUGUAGCCUCUGCCUGUGUUCACCACUAGAUGAUGCUCCUGCCUUCUGGACAAUCUGCUGACCGCCUUAGACAGGAAUGGACAGAAGCAAUCGACAAAUGGGCUGACGGAGCACCACAGAGAACAUUCGGUGGCUUUCAGCACAAGAAGAUGAGCAGGAGAUACCCAUGGUGUUCCAAAUUCCAGGUUCUUCCCCCAGACCCGGAUUCGCCCUGAGCUAACAUCUGCUACCAAUCCUCCUCUUUUUGCUGAGGAAACAUCUGUGCUUAUCUUCCUCUAUUUUAUACGUGGGACGCCUGCCUCAGCACGGCUUGAUGAGCAGUGCUAGGUCUGCGCCCAGGAUCCAAACCAGCGAACCCCAGGCCGCUGAAGCAGAAUGUGCGAAUUUAGCUGGUACACCACCGGGCCGGCCUUGAUAAUUUUUGUUCACUGCUGUAUCUGCAACAUCUAGUUCAGUGUCUGACAUGGAAUAGAUGCUUAAUAAAUAUUUGUUGCGUAAAUGAAUCGAUUGUUCCUAAACAAGGUUAGCCAAGGUUACAGCAUAUUUAUAAGAUGGGAAACAUAUCAUCUUUACUCCGUCUAGGGAAAAACUUUAUCAUUUGUUUCCUCACAAAAGUGGAUUCUGAUGGGAUUUGCCGUGGUCUGAAGCCUAAAGGGAUGGCACCAGGGAGGGGGCUGUAGUUUGCCUGGGCAUAGCCUUUGCUUUGAGAUUCAUGGUAGAAAGGAGCAGAUAAGCUUCCUGUGGGAGCUCGUGCUGCUGUCUGCUCCGAAGGUGAGUAAGCAACUCCAGAAGGGGGCCCAGGACCACUCAGAUGUCUGAAGUUUCCCACCUUAGGGCAGAGAACCAAAAACACUAUGGGCACGAUGCCUACAUGUUGACCGGGCACUUAGGGAGUAAAAGACCAUGUGAAACCCUUUGACCAGGCUCUGUUAUCUGUAUUCUAAAAUUUCUGUCUCACUGAAAUUAAAUGAAUCAGAGUAUGGUCUAGCCCUCAUAUGGAAAACAUUUCUAAUUUUGAAAGACUUGAAAUCAUUAUUAUUAAAAAUGCUUUAUCUGAAUGAUAAAUUUUUUAUUUAAAUGAUCAUUUUUAGCAUCAAUUAGAAUGAUCAUAUGGUCCUUCCUCUAUGACCUUUUGAUAUGAUGCAUUAGAGUAAUAUUUUUUCCAUUGAUGGAAUUAACCAUAUCUGAUUGAAUUAUGCUUUUUAUGUACAACUGG
RNAcentral lists this long non-coding RNA (3053 nucleotides) under Equus caballus (horse). Its description in RNAcentral is "lncRNA (ENSECAG00000058498.1)". The record is from RNAcentral. Lineage: Eukaryota; Metazoa; Chordata; Mammalia; Perissodactyla; Equidae.